CUCUCCUUCUCUAUCUCUCUCAGUCUCUCACAAGUUCACAACCCUAGAUCGCCAUUAGCACACCCUCGGCAGCGAUUCUUCGCUGUUCGCAAACUCCCGGCAGCGAACUUCGGCGGCGACGCUUUCAACAGAGAUUUAGAUAGAUCUUGCCGGAUCAGUGUGAAAUCCACCGUCGCACUCACACAUCUUCCUCCCCUUCAUGGCUUCAUUUGAAGAUAACUUACAACAAGUUGGAAUUUGAUCGUGAGGACGUAUUAAAUUGAACAACAGAGAUAACUCGAAGAAAGGCAAGUAGAAUCAGUAAGUUCACAAAAUCGCAGUUUUCAUUUCUUGA
Molecule: long non-coding RNA, 334 nt
Organism: Ananas comosus (pineapple)
Lineage: Eukaryota; Viridiplantae; Streptophyta; Magnoliopsida; Poales; Bromeliaceae
Exons: 3
Source: RefSeq, a predicted model, not a curated record